This 588-nucleotide ribosomal RNA is filed under the name bacterium. Its description in RNAcentral is "partial 23S ribosomal RNA". It matches the Rfam family "Bacterial large subunit ribosomal RNA", at positions 1 to 545 of the family's 2925-position model. The record is from RNAcentral.
GAUCAAGCUACAAAGGGCUUACGGAGGAUGCCUUGGUACAUGGCGCCGAAGAAGGACGUGACAAGCUGCGAAAAGCUACGGGGAGGAGCAAAUAUCCAAAGAUCCGUAGAUAUCCGAAUGAGGGAACUCAGCGUGGGUAAUACCACGUUAUCGUAUCCUGAAUAGAUAGGUAUACGAGGGGAACCCGGGGAACUGAAACAUCUAAGUACCAGGAGGAAAAGAAAACAACAGUGAUUCCGAAAGUAGUGGCGAGCGAAAUCGGAGGAGCCCAAACCUAAGUAAUAAUUAUUUAGGGGUACGGACCGCGAUAAAAGCACUUUAAUCUGUAGUCGAAUUAUCUGGAAAGGUAGAUCAAAGAAGGUGACAAUCCUGUAGACGAAACGGAGAGGAGGCUAAGCGGAAUCCAGAGUACGUCGGGACACGAGAAAUCCAGACGGAAGAAUUGGGGACCAUCCCAGAAGGCUAAAUACGACCGGGGCGUCCAGAAGGACAUAGUCAUAUUCCGUCCGCGCCUGAGUAAGCAUGGUGCCGAAGGCAUCGGCGUUGAUCCGCUCCGGCAGACAGUUCAUCGGGGCGGUGAGAAAAUGA